GUGGGCGUAGCUCAGUUGGUUAGAGCAUCAGACUGUGGCUCUGAGGGUCGGGGGUUCGAAUCCCCUCGCUCACC
RNAcentral lists this transfer RNA (74 nucleotides) under Candidatus Scalindua sp. RNAcentral describes it as "tRNA-His". It matches the Rfam family "tRNA". Rfam says of the family: Transfer RNA (tRNA) molecules are approximately 80 nucleotides in length. Their secondary structure includes four short double-helical elements and three loops (D, anti-codon, and T loops). The record is from RNAcentral. RNAcentral also lists the same sequence under 1 other name. Lineage: Bacteria; Pseudomonadati; Planctomycetota; Candidatus Brocadiia; Candidatus Brocadiales; Candidatus Scalinduaceae.